CCAGACUCCUACGGGAGGCAGCAGUGGGGAAUAUUGCACAAUGGGGGGAACCCUGAUGCAGCGACGCCGCGUGGGUGAAGGAGUACUUCGGUACGUAAAGCCCUAUCAGCAGGAAAGAAAAUGACGGUACCUGACUAAGAAGCCCCGGCUAACUACGUGCCAGCAGCCGCGGUAAUACGUAGGGGGCAAGCGUUAUCCGGAUUUACUGGGUGUAAAGGGAGCGUAGACGGUUAUGUAAGUCUGGAGUGAAAGCCCGGGGCCCAACCCCGGGACUGCUUUGGAAACUGUGUAACUAGAGUACAGGAGGGGCAGGCGGAAUUCCUGGUGUAGCGGUGAAAUGCGUAGAUAUCAGGAGGAACACCGGCGGCGAAGGCGGCCUGCUGGACUGAAACUGACGUUGAGGCUCGAAAGCGUGGGGAGCAAACAGGAUUAGAUACCCUAGUAC
This 445-nucleotide ribosomal RNA is filed under the name uncultured bacterium. RNAcentral describes it as "bacterial SSU rRNA". It matches the Rfam family "Bacterial small subunit ribosomal RNA", at positions 331 to 793 of the family's 1533-position model. The record is from RNAcentral.